This 21-nucleotide unclassified non-coding RNA is filed under the name Dictyostelium discoideum. The record is from RNAcentral. Lineage: Eukaryota; Evosea; Eumycetozoa; Dictyosteliales; Dictyosteliaceae.
UGACUCAAUCAAAGGUCCAGU